This 377-nucleotide unclassified non-coding RNA is filed under the name uncultured Intrasporangiaceae bacterium. RNAcentral describes it as "contains 16S-23S intergenic spacer region". The record is from RNAcentral. Lineage: Bacteria; Bacillati; Actinomycetota; Actinomycetes; Micrococcales; Intrasporangiaceae.
UCCGAGUUGACCCCGGCAGUCUCCUGCGAGUCCCCGCCAUUACGCGCUGGCAACACAGGACAAGGGUUGCGCUCGUUGCGGGACUUAACCCAACAUCUCACGACACGAGCUGACGACAACCAUGCACCACCUGUACACCAGUCCGAAGACGCACCCAUCUCUGAGUGAUUCCGGUGUAUGUCAAGCCUUGGUAAGGUUCUUCGCGUUGCAUCGAAUUAAUCCGCAUGCUCCGCCGCUUGUGCGGGCCCCCGUCAAUUCCUUUGAGUUUUAGCCUUGCGGCCGUACUCCCCAGGCGGGGAACUUAAUGCGUUAGCUGCGGCACGGAUCUCGUGGAAUGAGACCCACACCUAGUUCCCAACGUUUACGGCAUGGACUAC